UACGGAGGGUGCGAGCGUUAAUCGGAAUUACUGGGCGUAAAGGGCGCGUAGGCGGCUCAGUCAGUUGGGUGUGAAAGCCCCAGGCUCAACCUGGGAAUUGCAUCCAAUACUGCUGGGCUAGAGUGUGGUAGAGGAAAGCGGAAUUCCCGGUGUAGCGGUGAAAUGCGUAGAUAUCGGGAGGAACAUCAGUGGCGAAGGCAGCUUUCUGGACCAAUACUGACGCUGAGGUACGAAAGCGUGGGUAGCAAACAGG
Molecule: ribosomal RNA, 253 nt
Filed under: uncultured bacterium
Lineage: Bacteria
Description: partial 16S ribosomal RNA
Rfam family: Bacterial small subunit ribosomal RNA
Source: RNAcentral